CAACAAGGCGGAGCGUGAUGCAGACAUCAAUCUCUCCCUCUCAGGAGAUGGCUUUGACAUGAUCACGCGUACCAAGAACAUGUUGGAGUUGGAAUGCCCCGGCGUGGUCUCUUGUUCUGACAUACUUGCCACAACGACGCGUGAUCUUGUUGUUGCUGUCGGCGGCCCAUUCUAUGAGUUAGACCUUGGUCGAAAAGACAGUGUAGAGUCCAAAGCAAUCGACGCAGAAAACAAAUAUCCAUUACCAACUAUGACAAUGUCUCAGGUUAGAGAAGAAUCUAUUACAUUGUUCAUUAAUUUUUUUGGUAUCAAAUAGUUAUAUUACAAUUUUGUCCGUUAACUGAAAGUUUAUAUAUAUAUAUAUAUAUAUAUAUAUAUAUAUAUAUAUAUAUAUAUAUAUAUAUAUUGUUCUCGUUGGUUAUUGGGUAAACACCCCAAAUCAUCAAGGGGUAGAGUAUGUCUCACCUAUCUUGGUAAAUAGUCCCUCCAGUCCUAUAUAUUAAAAAAAAAGUUUAUUAUUUAGAUUAAUUGUAAAGUUGAUGUAUCUAGACAACAUUAUAGUCUAGAUACAUCAACUUUUAAUGAAUCUAAAAAGUAAACUUUUCCUUAUAUAUAGGACCGGAUGGAGUAUUUGUUAGGCUGUGAGGGAGAGUCUCACUGGGUUGGGUCAGCAUAUUGGACAUUGCGCAACCAUAACUUUAACACUACACUUUCCCCCAACACCUUAAGGUAUUAGGUUUAUGGGUCAUCUCACUUAUAGUGUUCAAACGCAACUCUUCCAACCAAUGUAAGACUUAACUCACAUCACAUUUAAUAGAUCUCAACAAUAUUACACCAAUAUAGUUUGAUUAAUUCUUUAUAUGUUUAUUGUACUAACUUAAAACUAUGAAUUUGUGACUGUGCUAGGUGAUAGACAUUUUCACUUCAAAAGGGUUUACCGUGCAAGAGAUGGUGGCUCUAGCUGGUGGACACACAAUAGGAUUCUCUCACUGCAAACAGUUUAGCAAUAGGCUCUUCAACUUCAGCAAGACCUCUGAGACUGAUCCUAUUUACAACCCACAGUAUGCCGCAGGGCUAAAGAAACUCUGUCAAAAUUAUCAACAAGAUCCUUCCAUGUCAGCGUAUAACGACGUGAUGACACCUAACAAGUUUGAUAACAUGUAUUUUAAAAACUUGAAGAGAGGGUUAGGGCUUUUGGCUACAGAUAGUUUGAUGUUUGAGGAUAAGAGGACAAAACCCUUUGUGGAAUUGUAUGCUACAGACCAAACUAAGUUCUUUGAGGAUUUUGGUAAUGCUAUGCGCAAGGUUAGUGUUUUGCAUGUUAAGGCGGGGAAGGAAGGAGAGAUACGACAUAGGUGUGAUACUUUCAACAAACUUAAUGAUAAUCUAUGAAGUCCAGACUCCGAAAGGCACACCUCACACGGCACGGACACGUCGACAUUGCUAAUGUAAAAAACAUGGGACACCGACACCACUAGGUUAUCCAUCUACUAUCGAAAAGUUAAAAAUAUUUUUAUCAAAAUGUAAUCUCUUUAAUCCCUCAUUGAUCAACAUUAUUGUUUUGACGCAUUUUAAUCCUUGUAAAUAUGUCUAAUAUGUGUUUGAGGAGAGUAGAGGCAAAGAAGAAAACACUAAAUUUUUUGGGGCACUUGUCCGACACAGUGUCUUAUAGGUGUCAGACACCGAUCUAAGAAGUGUCGAAGUAAAGAAAAAUAAUAAUUUUUUUGACGCCUGUCUGACGAGUUGGGAUCCUCUCCAUUUCCUAUUAAUUUAAUUUCUUCCAUUACCAAAGUUUUUAAAUGUUUUGGAGUGUAUAAAAAAUAUUUGGACCCUUUUGCUUUAUAUUCCCAAAACUAUAUAAUAAUGGAUGAAAUGGAAAGAAUGAGAAAUGGAGAGAAUCCCAACACCUGUCUGACCUAUCCAACGACGUGUGUCGUAGAAGUGUCGAGUGUCGGACACCGACACGUGUCAAACACCGCAAAACGUCUAUUCAUAUAGGUGUCCAUCUUUUGUAGAUUAUACUUGAUUUGAGACCAACAGAUUAAUUAUUAUUACUAGUUAAGGGAUUUAAGUACACGUUUUUAAUUUUGUUGUGUUACUUAUUGUGUAGAUUCAAUUGAUUAAUGUGAAACGAAAUGAAAAUUGGUGUUAACUUUCUCUAAUACUGCUGCUCAGUUAAAUUAAUGUUAAGUAAAUUCCCUAUAAAUCGAUUCCCAGUUAUAUCUCUAAUUAUUAAUUGCAUGUUAGUACUAAUUCAUUCAUGUAAUCAAUAACUAAAAUAUUCUAGAGAUAUUAAUAUAAGGGUAAAGCUAAUAACCUAAUAAGGAACCAACCCACCUUUGAAUUAGAGGUGUGAUAACAACGAGAGUUGUAGAGCUGGAAAUGGAUUCUUUACAAAAUUCCUUGAUCCCCCUUCAAGCUCCAAUUACAACCCAUGACCUCUUGAUUGCUAGAAAUUCACAUGCUCAAAAAGAAUUACGAGGGUUGGGGAAAGGAGAAGGGAGGAAUAAGUCAGUCACUUACCUUGGUUGGGUAAAGGAGAAAGGAAUUACAAGGGCUGCUACUGUUGUGAUUGCAUGCAAGGUUAAGCUCUGGUUGUAAAAUUGGUGUGGGUUGAAAUGAAUGGAAAGGAGUGGCUCAGUCAAAUUGAG
Molecule: long non-coding RNA, 2651 nt
Filed under: Trifolium pratense (red clover)
Lineage: Eukaryota; Viridiplantae; Streptophyta; Magnoliopsida; Fabales; Fabaceae
Description: long non-coding RNA (TPRA_LNC005226)
Source: RNAcentral